AUGGCCUCUGGUUUUCUCCGUUAUAGCAGAUUUGUUGACAUACUGACUUUGUUAAACACACAUUGUAUUUCCAGGGUGCUGUUGCUCUCACUGUUGGCCUUCAGCAAGCAUGCUGAGUCUCUUACUUACAGGAGUACCUACUCCAGUGGUAUUAAGCCUUACUCUGGGAUGGCUGAGAAUUUUCCACACAACCAGAAUCCUGUUUUCAGACAUAAGAGCUAUGCACAACCCCGAAGUUCUCUGGGUGUUUAUGGGCCUGAACAUGGGUCACCUGAGAAUUCUUACCCCACUGCUGCAGGUAUGCCUGGUGGUGCUGGUGCUUCCUCUGGUGGGCCAUUAAAUGGUUACCAUCAACAAGGAAGCAUGUCUAGCUACAGAUCUGGCUCAUCACAUUACCAGGGGGAUACUGAUGGUGCCCUCCAGUCCAAAGAUGCCAUGUGGGGUUUAGCUUCACCCCAGAAAAGAAACCGGAUUGACACAGGAAUUGUCUCAAGUUAUCCAAUUGAGAUGCGUUCUGUGCCCCAGUGGCAAAGUAAUGAGCACCAGACCCAGCCACACCCUGAGCGAGAACAGUUUAGCGACUUUCAGUCUCGCCCGCUGCCCCAGCAGCCGCGCUACGAGGCCAGCAAGCCCCAGGCCCGGCCUUUCCCCAGCAGCCGCGCUACGAGGCCAGCAAGCCCCAGGCCCGGCCUUUCCCCAGCAGCCGCGCUACGAGGCCAGCAAGCCCAGGCCCGGCCUUUCCCCCAGCAGCCGCGCUACGAGGCCAGCAAGCCCCAGGCCCGGCCUUUCCCCCAGCAGCCGCGCUACGAGGCCAGCAAGCCCCAGGCCCAUCCGCGCAGUGAGGCCAAUUCUCCAAGUGAAGAUGUGCUGCAAAACAAAGCUAGCAUGUGGGACUUGGCUAUUAACUCCAAUGCUGAUCCAAGAAGUUUGAGACCCAUUCAAGUUUCAUCAAGUUAUCUCUACAGCUGGCCACAGCAACAGGCACCCUUCUACAACAGAUAUUAACAAUAGGUUUCUGACCUCACCUGUGAACAGCUGGUUUUGGCUUGGCAUCAGAUUUUGUGAUAUCAAUAAAGUACACAGAACUACACUCCCUGGCUGCUGUUUAAAGCUCCUUUGACCAUGAGUAAGUUCAGUUUUAUGCAUGCUCUCAUGAUAAACUGAGCUGCUCUAUAGAUCUAGGCUUGUACUGUUGCUACCAUAAUGUUGCCUUCCAGUAUACAAACUGAAGCUGUAAGCCCCAAAGACUGUCACAGAAUUGUCUUACAGUUGUGUAGCUUAGCAAAGCAAAUCUGCUUAGCUUGUCUUAAUGUUUCAACAAGUGUUCAGUGUUCACAACCACAAUUUUCACUUCAAGAACAAGGGGUGGAAACAUGGCAGUUUAAUGCCUUCUAUCAAUGGCAAAAAUUACAGUCCACUCAGGACUACAACCAACCAGAUGCUAAACGAAAAAUGGUGGUAGUCUGCCAAGCAGGUGCUCACUAUCAGGGAAAAUUAGGGAUUAGCAUCAACCAAGGCAGCUCAAAGCACAAGCAGCAAUAUAGCUUUGAAAGGUGUGGGUGUCAGUUUUUGGGUCCCAAUUGUGAACUAUGACCAUUCCUUCAACAUCAGUGUCACAUUAGCUGUUCUCUUUUUCUGCCUUAAAGUAAAUUGUCCUAAUGGGCUCAUAUUAAAGUUUGUUUUUAUUCUAUAGAGAUUCUCAUCUCACUAUUCAUGUGCCAUAUUUGUCCUUAUGCAAGAAGACUUGAGUCUUGAGUAUUAAUAUAAAUAUCUCAUGGAUUUAUGAUAUUCAUCAAAUGCUACUUCUUUGUCUUUUCACUUUUCUGCUGCUUCUUGCCCAAACACCGUCCCACCCCUCCUCCUCUCUGAUAGCUGUUAUUAGUUUAGUCGUCUCCAGUUUGGGGAGAUAAUGACAGUGCUGUUUUUUGGACACUGACUUCCUGUGUGUGUGGUGUUUCUCCCUGUCAUUAAGCAGCAAGUCUGUGUGGUUAAAAUGACACAGCUUUGACUGCAGGAAACACUGCCAACUUCACCAUCCGAUCCCAGCUCCAAUAAACUACUCACUGCUGGUUUUCAGCUUUCAUACUGUCUGUUGCUUGUUUGGGGGUUUCAGCAUAUUUUCCUUUACUUGAGUUUUACAAUAAAGAUAUUAUAGAUAUUUUAUAGCACACUGCUUACAGUACACUGUUGUGGUCUUUGCUUUACAUCAAAUGAAAAUGCACUUUAGUCAAAAGCACAUUGCACUUCAUCUGCAGUGACAUAUUUGUUGUAUGGAUCUUUUACUGGACGUCCCACAAUGUCAUUUAUACAGCGCCAAAUCGCAACAACAGUCACCUCAAGGCGCUUUAUAUUGUAAGGUUAACCCUACAAUAAUACAUACAGAGAAAAACCCAACAAUCAUAUGACCCCCUAUGAGCAAGCACUUUGGCAACAGUGGGAAGGAAAAACUCCCUUUUAACAGGAAGAAACCUCCGGCAGAAACUGCAUGAAAGGCUGUGGUUUGCAAGGUACCAGAUGUAAAGCAACCAAGGCAGAUACAGCUGCUUAAAUCAGUCAAACUCUAUUGAACAUUACUUUUCAAAGUGUUUCACAGAUUAUUAAAAAGCUGAUAAAACAAAUGGCAUGCUUUAAUAACGGACAUAGAAUUAACAAC
Molecule: long non-coding RNA, 2653 nt
Organism: Oreochromis niloticus (Nile tilapia)
Lineage: Eukaryota; Metazoa; Chordata; Actinopteri; Cichliformes; Cichlidae
Source: Ensembl